Lonchura striata (white-rumped munia) is the source of this 2086-nucleotide non-coding RNA. The record is from RefSeq and is a predicted model, not a curated record. Lineage: Eukaryota; Metazoa; Chordata; Aves; Passeriformes; Estrildidae.
UGGCAUCAUUUGCAUGCAUCAGGAUACAUCUGCCUUGCCCAGGAAAGCUCUGGCAACAAGAGCACUGCAGCUCCCAGUGCAGGGCAAUGCUCAGAUGGAAGCUGCUGGAGAGGAAAUGUAGGAAGAGCAGUGAGGGGACAGGAGAGAUAAGGGGAGAGCCUGAGCUGGCAGAAAAACUGGAGCUUCAGUCCCAGCUUGGAGGGGCUCACAGCUGUGCCUGCCCAACAUGGGGGGCUUGGAGGGAGGCAGUGACUGGCAGAGCAUCCAAUCUGGCCAAAUAAAAGGCAUUAACUCCUGGAGGGAAGGAUCAGGCGAGUGUUCCAUCUCUUAUCCAGGAGGUUUGCAGUGGAGGUUGACAGACAUGUUUGGUAGCUCUGAGGCACUGAAGCAGCAGUAAUGGUUGAGGCAGAGCUGAGGAGCUGCAGGGAAGGGUUGUAGGCAUGUGGCUGGUUUUGCUGUGCUGCUUCUCGGUGCUCCCUCCCCAAGCAUGUCUCUUGUCUCCUUGAGCUGCUUAGUUUUGGUUGGCAUUCAGUGUUCCCAGGUUGGACACCGGAGCAAGAAUCACUCCUGGAGACUGGCAGGCCUAGAGCUUCCAACAUUUCCACGUGUUCCAGAGCUGCAGGAGCCUGGACAAGCAGCACUCCUCUGCUGCUCAGUGGCUUACAGGAGGGGAGAGCUUGCUCUGGGGAGGCAGAUCCUCGGAUCUGUGCUGAGGACCCAGAGCAGCUGUGCUGUGUCAGGUCACUUGAUCUGAGCGCUGCUGAGUCGCCAGUGACGGCGCCUCCAGCUCCUCGAGCCGUGUUCCUCUGCUUUAACCUUUGCCUGCCUGUCCCCAGCCCUUCCUUGGGGCAGGUCCUGGCCUCAGUCACAGCAGUCCCAAGGGUGGCAGGGACUGUGUCCAGAGCAGGGCCUUAUUGGCCCCUGACAGGCAGAACUGCAUACUCACACCCACUGAGCAGUUCACAGGAGUUUUUGGGUUCUCUCUGUAACAAAGACAUUGAAAGUCCAUAAGCCCCACUUUGUAUAAGGGAUUAUGGCCUGAAGCAGCUGGAAUCAGAUCAUGGCAUUAUUGUGUGUGGGCUGUACCUGCACCUCUGCAUGUACAGGGCUGGGAGUGCAUGGCUGUGGCCCCUGGGGCUGUGUGCAUGUUGAUUAUUUUUUCCUGGAUUUUUUUUUUUUUUGCUUGGAUACUCACUAAAUGCCUGGGAAUUAACCAAGUAUAGUUAUAUCUUGUUGCAAAUUUGGAUAACCUGUCUACUUUCUUCAUUCCCCUUAAUUCUUGAUCUCCCUUGUUAUUCUUCCCUUUACCAGGAAUCCUGCAGGAGUAGGUAACCCAAUCCUACCUUGGCACAAGAAGACCCAGUCCUGAUCUCAUUCACUCUCCUAAAAUCCACAAAUUAAAUCUACUGGAUUUAGCAUAUUGACAUUGAUUUCCCAGCUCCGCUGGUGCUUUCUGGAUUCCCAUCUGCUUGAAACUGGACGGAGAACUAUUAAUUCAGGAAACAGCAAUUUGGGCUUGAUGGGGAUGUACUGACCUUAAGCCUUCAUUAAUAUAAUUAGUGCCCUUGGUUUGAGGAGGGCUCUCUCCACUUGGACUGUGUGACAUGAAAGCUCUGAGUCCCUCUGACCUGAGGUGCAAAAACGACCAUUUAUUCAAGAUGAGAAAAACUCCUGCGGGUGGAUUGCUAGAAAAUGAUGUCAAAGGCUGGAAAAACUUGGCAAUGGGGAUCUUUUUCAGCUUGGUUUCUUUAAUGGCUUGAUGAAAUUAAAUUUUCUUAAUGUGGAUACUCCUGGUGAAGCUGAGCUUGCCCUCAUAACUUGCUCUGGUGAACCUGAACGUCCCUUUCUUUCCCUUAAAAUCCAGAGGUGUGUGGGUUGGUUCUCAUUACACAGCUGUGCUGAGCUGUGGCAUGGCUGGUGCUGCAGUGUGAGAGAGGAGGAUCUGCUGAGUGGGAAGCAGUCCCGGAGUAGGAGGAGGUGUUUGGAGGUGGCAUUAUGUGGGAAGCCACCACACCUUCUGCAGGGACAUGUUCCUGUUCCUUCUUCAGGAUUUAACACAAGCCAUGUAUAUCCUUCUGCAGAGAAA